Molecule: ribosomal RNA, 483 nt
Filed under: uncultured bacterium
Lineage: Bacteria
Description: partial 16S ribosomal RNA
Rfam family: Bacterial small subunit ribosomal RNA
Source: RNAcentral
AUUGAACGCUGGCGGCAUGCUUUACACAUGCAAGUCGAACGGCAGCGCGGGCUUCGGCCUGGCGGCGAGUGGCGAACGGGUGAGUAAUGCAUCGGAACGUGCCCAGUAGUGGGGGAUAGCCCGGCGAAAGCCGGAUUAAUACCGCAUACGACCUGAGGGUGAAAGCGGGGGACCGAAAGGCCUCGCGCUAUUGGAGCGGCCGAUGUCGGAUUAGCUAGUUGGUGGGGUAAGGCUUACCAAGGCGACCAUCCGUAGCUGGUCUGAGAGGACGACCAGCCACACUGGGACUGAGACACGGCCCAGACUCCUACGGGAGGCAGCAGUGGGGAAUUUUGGACAAUGGGGGCAACCCUGAUCCAGCCAUGCCGCGUGCGGGAAGAAGGCCUUCGGGUUGUAAACCGCUUUUGUUCGGGAAGAAAUCCUCUGGGCUAAUACCCCGGGGGGAUGACGGUACCGGAAGAAUAAGCACCGGCUAACUACGUG